AAGUCGUAACAAGGUUUCCGUAGGUGAACCUGCGGAAGGAUCAUUCAUAAUAAGUGUUUUAUGGCACUUCAAAUCCAUUACCCACCUUGUGUGCAUUGUCGGGGAGAGGACUCUCUCAAUCUCUCUCUCUCCCUCUCUCUCCUCUCUCUCUCUCACUCAGAGGGAGAGGAGGAGAAAGGGGGAGGAGAGGAGGAGGGUUCCUCUCUUCUUUCUAUACACACUGUUCUCAGUAUCAGUCUACUUCAAUUGAGUACAAAACUCGAAUACAACUUUCAACAACGGAUCUCUUGGCUCUC
This 296-nucleotide unclassified non-coding RNA is filed under the name fungal sp. Its description in RNAcentral is "partial internal transcribed spacer region". The stretch from base 1 to 46 matches the Rfam family "Eukaryotic small subunit ribosomal RNA", at positions 1786 to 1831 of the family's 1831-position model. Lineage: Eukaryota; Fungi. The record is from RNAcentral.